AGGCGCGUAGCUCAGUGGUAGAGCACUACAUUGACACUGUAGGGGUCGACAGUUCAAUUCUGUCCGUGCCUACCA
Molecule: transfer RNA, 75 nt
Filed under: Deltaproteobacteria bacterium
Lineage: Bacteria; Pseudomonadati; Myxococcota; Myxococcia
Description: tRNA-Val
Rfam family: tRNA
About the family: Transfer RNA (tRNA) molecules are approximately 80 nucleotides in length. Their secondary structure includes four short double-helical elements and three loops (D, anti-codon, and T loops).
Source: RNAcentral